CCUUUCUUUUUUAUUUUUCACUUUGAUUUCACUCACUGGAUUUAGUGCGGACUGAACUUGUUUGCUUCAAAUCCUGUAUCAGCAGAGUACACAAAUGUGCAUUUAUUAUUCAAUGGGAUAUUAGUAGAAUGUCUUGUAAACAUUUUCAGGAUGGAAAACUGUGUCUGUGCUAAAGCUAUCUCUUCCUAUAGAGAAGGGAAACUAAUGGUAGUGUGUGAACGGUAGUGAAUCUCUUCUUUUUUUUGCUGUUGUCAGCUUUUUUAAUGCAGAAAGGUGGACUUCGCAGCAGCAAAUGUUUUAGCAUGAGGAAUCAGAGAACUUUCAUCCAGCUUAAUAGUUCAAAAUGUAGAUGUUUCCAUCUAAAGCAAUUGCUGUGUCUUCCUUUAUGUCCAAGGAAAUAAGCUCCUGGGGGGUUCUGCCGCAGGUCCUCAGUGCAGGUAGUGGUGGCAGCAGACCCCUGUGCAUGCUAGAGACCAGAGUCAUGAUGGGUCCCCACAGCCUUCCUCAAGGGUAAGGAAUCUUUUCCUUAAAACUUGAGAAGUGUGUUUCCAGCUUUGAGCUCAAGUCAUUGAUUUUCUUCAGUGAAAAAAAUGAAGCCUGUUCGCAGAUAGUGGUGGCAUUUCUUCCUUCGUACUCCAUUUGAAAGGGGCAGGUAGCGCUACCAAGCUGUUCAGUUCAUGGGAUUUAUUUGUGUUUUCAGCUCACUAUGAAGCUUCAAAGUGCUAUGUAAGUAUUAUUGUGAUUGUGUUUUCAAGACUAUCUGUUGCCAGUCUUAUUGCUGCAAGCUUGAGCACAUAGCUAUACUUUGUAAACAUCAACCCCCCCCCCCCCCCAUCUUGGACAGGCAUUAUUUUUUUACUUAUUUAUUUACUUAUUUGUUUCUGGACACUUUUAAAGGUUGUGGAAAUUAAUUAUAUUGAAUUCUAUACAUAUAUGUGUGUGUGUACACACAUGUGCAUACACAUAUGUAUAUAGGGCUUAUAUAUAUUUAUGUGUAAUAAGUUGGAAUUACAUUAGAAUUGGAUGAUCCAGAGAAAUAAUUAACAAAGCAGGGGCUGUGCCUCUUCACCUUCAUUUUACCUCUGAUACAUGCAUUUGCACGAGUGCCUUGUUUCCACCUUGCUGUUUGCAUUAGUGCCAUUAGUGGCUGGUAGAAUAGAUGUGAGAUGGUGAAGCUGUGGUGCUGAGGAAGCAAGAGAGUUUGAAUGAUUGAGAAACCCCAACCAUAGUAUUUCCUGGGAUAUUUAUGUGGCACACAUAUUGGUUAGCUUAUUAACAGGCGGGUCAGAGGGCAGGCAGAAAGGAAAGCUAUGGCUGGAGAUGAACAAUCUCCCAGCAAAAAAAGUCAUCCCAAGGGAUGCUCAAGCUCUGAGAGGUUGCAGUGCUGCAGCCCAAGCCCCAAGACUCAUUUCCCAAGGCUGAAUGCAGCAGGCAGCUAUGUCCCUUUCUGCAGUCCAAGAAGUUGUCAAAGAGCCUGGCUAUCUUCCAGUGCAUGUCAUGUCCUAAGGUAAAAUGGAUAGGUCUUCAGACUGUUUUGCAUGCCUGUUUUGCAAAUCCCUUUCCUGGAGACUUUUACUGGGGAUAACUUUUAUUAAUGCACUGUUAAAAAAAAAAAAAAAAAAUUACCAGGCAGCUGCCUUUUGGUCUCUGCCUUCAGCCCACCUCUCCCAGAGCAAGCCUGACUGUCCCUCUGUCAUAGCCCUCAGGCUGGAAGCAAGUCCUGGGGAGGGCCCACAGUUCCCUCCCUGUCCCUCUCCCUUCCUUUGCAUUCUUUCUCCCUUGAAAACCAUGUGUGUUCCUAUCCAGCAAAGUAGUGGAGCAGCACAAAGCUGUGGAUGCUGCCGUGGUGGGACAGUCAGGGUCUCAAAGGAGGGAGUGGAUGAGGUAGAGUAUUGAAAUCUGAGAGCUGACAUGCCAGGAGGGUGCAAAUCCUGGGAAAGAGGCUUGUCAUCAGUUCCUUUGCCUAAAUCCAUGCCUUCCUCACACAUCCUGCAAAUCACUUCUCGCAAGGCCAGAACUAAUACGUGUUUUGUCUUCAGGGAGAAAGACUCUUUGCAAUCACUCUAUUGUGAUUAUAAAUCACAACAUUGGAACUUUUCUGACAUGUUACCUCCCUUUUCAUGGAGCACUCAGCUAGGUACAGGCAAACAGAAGGGUCUUCAGCCAUACCUGGCUGCCUUUUCUAUUCAGAAAAAUUGGCACAGCUCCAUGUCUGAGUAAGUCUGCCCUUCUGGGAACUAAGGAUGUUUAAAAGAAGGUGGCAAGUCUUAUUAGCAUAAAACAGCCCUCUACACUGACACACUUCCGAGCUACAUCUACAUUAAUUUCCACUGUGUUGGAGUGACAGCCCUGUGGCUGCACUCACCCUGCAGAUUUGCCACAAGUUGCAGUGGUAGGAAUCUCAAAGCUGACUUAUUAAGAGGAAACAUUUCAAACAGGUCAAGGCUUGGCCCUCCCUUUUGCCUGUAAAAUUUGUAUCUCCAUGUCUGCACUUGUAAAAUACUUCUCUGUGUACUUGCACCUCUCCCCACUCCCAUUUAUCCCAGCAAGUGGCUGAAGGUGGCAACGCUUUUAUCUGAGUUUGGUUUUCAAUCCCAAGUGGAAAGAGUCUGUGUAAAUUGCAAGGCUGACCUUCUGAAAAUGAGGCCUUGAGUUGUUACCCCCUCUUGUAUUUAACUUGCAAUUUACCACACAGAGGGAAGAUAAAUUAGAUAGGUUAAUUAAGAAGCUCUGGAAUACUUUUGAUCAUUGUGCUAUGCAAUCAUAGAUGCAUCUUGCCUUUAGGACCCUGAAUAUGCUGACAUGAAGCCUUUU
Molecule: long non-coding RNA, 2814 nt
Organism: Taeniopygia guttata (zebra finch)
Lineage: Eukaryota; Metazoa; Chordata; Aves; Passeriformes; Estrildidae
Source: Ensembl